Molecule: ribosomal RNA, 420 nt
Filed under: uncultured bacterium
Lineage: Bacteria
Description: bacterial SSU rRNA
Rfam family: Bacterial small subunit ribosomal RNA
Source: RNAcentral
GAGGAAUAUUGGUCAAUGGGCGAGAGCCUGAACCAGCCAAGUCGCGUGAAGGAAGACGGUCCUACGGAUUGUAAACUUCUUUUAUACAGGGGUAAAACAGGGGACGUGUCCCCUCUUGCAAGUACUGUAUGAAUAAGCAUCGGCUAACUCCGUGCCAGCAGCCGCGGUAAUACGGAGGAUGCGAGCGUUAUCCGGAUUUAUUGGGUUUAAAGGGUGCGCAGGCGGGCUAUUAAGUCAGUGGUGAAAUCUCGGGGCUCAACCCCGGAACUGCCAUUGAAACUGGAAGCCUUGGGUAUGGAUGAAGUAGGCGGAACUCGUUGUGUAGCGGUGACAUGCAUAGAUAUAACGAAGAACCCCGAUUGCGUAGGCAGCUUACUAAGCCAUAACUGACGCUCAAGCACGAAAGCGUGGGGAUCAAAC